This 1091-nucleotide ribosomal RNA is filed under the name fungal sp. 54 SAB-2015. RNAcentral's name for it is "eukaryotic LSU rRNA". The stretch from base 506 to 1091 matches the Rfam family "Eukaryotic large subunit ribosomal RNA", at positions 1 to 597 of the family's 3401-position model. Lineage: Eukaryota; Fungi. RNAcentral also lists the same sequence under 1 other name. The record is from RNAcentral.
CAUUAUAGAGUUUCUACUCUUCUACCCAUGUGAACUUACCUUACUAUCCUCCGGCGGAACGCCCCGGUGCCUUCGGGCCCGGAUCAGGCGCCCGCCGGGGAACAAACAAACUGUAUUUGUCUCCUGUAUACCUCAGAAACUGGCGUAAAGCCGAAAUGUAACAACUUUUGACAAUGGAUCUCUUGGCACUGGCAUCGAUGAAGAACGCAGCGAAAUGCGAUAAGUAAUGUGAAUUGCAGAGCACAGUGAAUCAUCGAAUCUUUGAACGCACAUGGCGCCCGCCGGUAAUCCGGCGGGCAUGCCUGUCCGAGCGUCAUUUCAACCCUCAGAACCCCUCUCUUACGGGAGGGCGUUACUGGUGUUGGGGAACGAGCGUCCACCGCGGCGCCCGUCCCUUAAAUCUAUUGGCGGCUCCGGAGUCUGUCUCCCCUGCGUAGUAUUGCAUCUCGCUUUGGUGACUUCUCCGGGCUGCUGCGGCCUCCUGGCUGCGAAACCCCCACUAGGUUGACCUCGGAUCAGGUAGGGAUACCCGCUGAACUUAAGCAUAUCAAUAAGCGGAGGAAAAGAAACCAACAGGGAUUGCCUCAGUAACGGCGAGUGAAGCGGCAACAGCUCAAAUUUGAAAUCUGGCCUUCGGGUCCGAGUUGUAAUUUGCAGAGGAUGCUUUUGACGAGGUGGCGACCGAGUUCCCUGGAACGGGACGCCGUAGAGGGUGAGAGCCCCGUAUGGUCGCACUGCCGAGUCUUUGUAAAGCUCCUUCAACGAGUCGAGUAGUUUGGGAAUGCUGCUCUAAAUGGGAGGUGUAUGUCUUCUAAAGCUAAAUACCGGCCAGUGACCGAUAGCGCACAAGUAGAGUGAUCGAAAGGUGAAAAGAACUUUGAAAAGAGAGUUAAAAAGUACGUGAAAUUGUCAAAAGGGAAGCAUUUAUGACCAGACUUGGGCGUGGUUGAUCAUCCGGCGUUCUCGCCGGUGCACUCUGCCCGCCUAGGCCAGCAUCAGUUCGCCUCGGGGGAAAAAGGCUUCGGGAAUGUGGCUCCUUCGGGAGUGUUAUAGCCCGUUGCGUAAUGCCCUGGGGUGGACUGAGGUCCGCG